RNAcentral lists this long non-coding RNA (3145 nucleotides) under Homo sapiens (human). Lineage: Eukaryota; Metazoa; Chordata; Mammalia; Primates; Hominidae. The record is from RNAcentral.
GUCUUUUCGAGGUAGGAGUCGACUCCUGUGAGGUAUGGUGCUGGGUGCAGAUGCAGUGUGGCUCUGGAUAGCACCUUAUGGACAGGUAAGAAUUGGGGAAAGUAUGGUGGGAAGAAUGAAAUCUAAGAGGUGGUCUCAGCCUGUGAUGCUUUAAGAGUAGUGGACAGAAGGGAUUUCUGAAAUUCUAUUCUGAGGCUUUAAUGUUAACAGCAUUUAUAUUUAACGUGACUGCUGUGAGGUUCAUUCUCACUGUUUUGCUUGCAUCUUUUUGUUUUCUAGUUGUGUCCCCAAGGAAGGAUGAGAAUAGCUACUGAAGUAAGUUGAAAAUUCCCUCUCAAAAAGGUUUAAAGCCAUUGGAUGUGCCACAAUGAUGACAGUUUAUUUGCUACUCUUGAGUGCUAGAAUGAUGAGGAUCUUAACCACCAUUAUCUUAACUGAGGCACCCAAAAUGGUGAGUUGGGGAACAUAGAGAGUACACCUAAGUUCACAUGAAGUUGUUUCUUCCCAGGUCCUAAAGAGCAAGCCUAACUCAAGCCAUUGGCACACAGGUGAGACACCUCUAUUUUGUACUUCUCACUUUUAAGGGAUUAGAAAAUAGCCAAAGCAAUGAUGAUUAUCUAUGUUAGUGCUUCUCUCCCCUCUUUUCAAAUGAGAAUUUUGCUCUCAUAUUGAUACUAAGUUUAAUACUGAAGAAAAUGUGAAAACAGAUACUAUGAUGGUUGCAUAGUUCAGCAGAUUUAAUCAUGAAGAGAUGUACUAUCUGUCUGAUGUAUCUGGGGUAGUUGUGGUUUGCUGUUAAUGGUUAAGCAGUGUACCACCAAUCUACCAUUAAAAUAUUUUUUGCUGACAAUUUUGUAUUAAAAUUACAGGCAUUAGACAGAAAGCUGGAAGUUGAAAUGGUAAGUGAAACUGUAUCCAAGUAAGCAGGUAACUGGGCAAACUUCCUACGGCACAAAUGGCUUUUUAGUUACCUCCUAGUGCUGAAUGCAUUAAAUAAAUGGCGGAUUCUUGUCUUGUUAUGAUUAAUAAGAAAGUUUGUAAAUGCAGCCUGGAUGAUGAUAAGCAAAUGCUGACUGAACAUGAAGGUCUUAAUUAGCUCUAACUGACUAAAGGCAUUUGUUAGUUUUGGCAGGGGGUGAACACUCAUCUGUGGCUAUUCUAAGACCACUCUUAUUUCUUAGGUGGAGUCCAACUUGCCUGGACCAGCUUAAUGGUUCUGGUAAGUAUUAAUGAAAACAGUAGAUAGACUUAAUGAAAAUGCUGAUGGUGAUAUGCUUACUGCUGAGCUAAUGGCUUAAGGCUUGGCUGAUGAAUACUGACUGUAUUUUCCUUGAGCAUGUCUGGAACAGUGUUUAUGUGUUUUCCUUGAGCAUGUUUGGAACGGGGUUUGUGUAAUGAUGUUGAUCAAAUGUCUGACCUGAAAUGAGCAUGUAGACAAAGGUAACACUGAAGAACCCUGUGACAGACAACUUUGAAAAGAGUUUAAUGAUGUUUAGCAUUUUAAUGGAAGUCCUCAUUUGUAUUCCAGCUCCUGGUAACGUUUUUAUCCAUGGAUGACUUGCUUGGGUAAGGACAUGAAGACAGUUCCUGUCAUACCUUUUAAAGGUACAUGUUUUAUUGAUGUUAACGUUAAUUGAUUGAGCUACUGUUAGUGAUGAUUUUAAAAUUAAAGCAGAUGGGAAUCUCUCUGAGAAAGAAAAUGGAGAUUAAUCUUAAACUGAAACAGUAGUUGGGAAAUCUUUUAGAAAUCCACCUAUUACUACCUAUUGGUAAAGGAGAUUAAAUUUCUACAGGUAUGGAGAGUCGGCUUGACUACACUGUGUGGAGCAAGUUUUAAAGAAGCAAAGGUAUAGCAGUUCCAAGUAUUUUUUUUUUUUUUUUAGACAAGAGUCUAGCUCUUGCCCAGAAUGGAGUGCAGCGGCACUAUCAGUUCACUGCAACCUCUGCCUCCCAGGUUCAAGGAAUUCUCCUGCCUCAGCCUCUUGAGUAGCUGGGAUUACAGGCAUGUGACACCAUGCCUGGCUAAUUUUGUACAGCUAUGUUGUCCAGGCUGGUCUCGAACUCUUGACCUCAAGUGAUACUGCCCGCACUGACCUCCCAAAGUGCUGGGAUUACAGGCGUGAGCCACCAUGCCCCGCCUCAAGUCUGGUUUUUAAGUGUUGUAAAGCCGAUACAAUGAUGAUAACAUAGUUCAGCAGACUAACGCUGAUGAGCAAUAUUAAGUCUUUCGCUCCUAUCUGAUGUAUCUGGCGGUAACAUUCUAGUUUAUGCCCCGAAAAGGGGAAUAUAGCCAUUCUAUAAUGUUUGGAGAUUUUGGAUUACUCCUAAUUGUAUGCAAGUUGUCUUACUGUGUAUUGUCCCUUAAUUUCAGGACUCAGAAUUCAUGAUUGAAGAAAUGCAGGUUAGUUUAAACUUUGAAGGAAAUUUUUAAGGUGGCAAAAGGUUUUGGUGGCAUAUACACCUUAAUCUGUAGAUGGGAGUGAUUAGCUGUUUAAAAGUUAAAAUGUGACUGAGAAGGAAAUUGAGUAGGGCAAAUUUUAAAUGGGUAUUAUUUUUCAUCUUCAAACAGGCAGACCUGUUAUCCUAAACUAGGUGAGUCAGCUUUUGGUACAUGUGAUGAUUUUCAGUGUAACCAAUGAUGUAAUGAUUCUGCCAAAUGAAAUAUAAUGAUAUCACUGUAAAACCGUUCCAUUUUGAUUCUGAGGUUACUCUACUAACAAGCAUCACACAUUUGUAUUUUGCCCUGAUUAAUAUGUUGGCUUCGCUUUCAGGGUUUUUAAUGACCACAACAAGCAAGCAUGCAGCUUACUGCUUGAAAGGUGAGGAUUGGAAAUGUUGGGACUAUUAUAAUUGCAGAAUACAUGAUGAUCUCAAUCCAACUUGAACUCUCUCACUGAUUACUUGAUGACAAUAAAAUAUCUGAUAUUCUGCAUUCCCAUGUAGCAUUUUAAUUGAAGUCUGUAAAUGUGGCUAAAAGUCUUGUCUUAUUUUUUGAGACAGGGUCUUGCCUCACCCAAGCUAGAGUGCAGUGGCCUUUGAAGCUUACUACAGCCUCAAACUUCUGGGCUCAAGUGAUCCUCAGCCUCCCAGUGGUCUUUGUAGACUGCCUGAUGGAGUCUCAUGGCACAAGAAGAUUAAAACAGUG